This 3616-nucleotide small RNA is filed under the name Pan troglodytes (chimpanzee). RNAcentral describes it as "retained intron". The record is from RNAcentral. Lineage: Eukaryota; Metazoa; Chordata; Mammalia; Primates; Hominidae.
UUUUUAAAAAAUACCUUUAUUACCCAACAUCUCAGAAGAACAUACUUACAAUUCACUUAAAAUAGCAAAAAUAAAUAUUAAUACUAAAGGUUAAAAGUAAAGUCCUUUUUUCCCCACAUCUAAUGCCUACUCCCUGUCCUUACAGAUGAUCAGGUUUGCAGGGUCUUUUUAUGUCUGUUCUUUCAGAUAUAUUCUAUGCCUAUCAAAGCAUGUAUGUAUAUUUUUACAUAAAGAAGAUUAUCCAGUAUAUACUAUACUGUAACUUUUCCACUUUAUCUCUUUCUCAGACAUCUUUCCAUAUCAGCUCUCUGUCGUAGAAUCAAUUAUACAGUUUAAAGUGAGUUUGUUAUUGAUGGGUAUUAAGUGUUUAUGGUGUUUAGUUUUUACAUCCAAUCAUCAGUGAAAGUCUGGGACAAAUACUUCUGCAUUUGUGCCACUAUAGCUUUAGACAGUAUUCCUAAGAAAAAGAUAGGACCAAAGCAUAUGUACAUUUUAAAUUUUGGCUGAUAUUACCUAUAUACCUUCCUACAAUAUUGCACCAGUGCUUCUUACUGGCAACAAUGUGUAUGAGUUUCUAUUUCCCUACACUAGCACCAAUACUGAGUAUCAUGAGACAUAAAUCUAUUAUAUUCAAAAUUGUAUCUAGUUUUAAUUUGUAUUUCCUUAAUUAGAAGAAAGGUUGAGCAUCUUUACUUCUAUUUGCAAUUUGUAUUUCUUUUAUUAUGAGUUAAAUAUUUCUAUCCUUUGCCCAUUUCGUGGUGGCAUUAUUCGUAUUUUUUGUUGUUGAUUUGUGGGAACUCUUUCUUAGAGAAACUUAGUCCUCCCCAUCAUAUGUAUUGAAGGGUUUUUUUGUAAGUUUGUCUUGUUAUUUUUUUUAUGGGUUUUUAAAGUAUAUAUAGAAGUUUUGUUUAUUUUUAAUGAAAUCAAAACUGUCUCUUCUGUAAUGGCUCUGGUUUUUUUAUGAUGCUUAGAAAGUCCUUCUCAUUAAAGAUCACCCCAAUAAUCUCCCUCACUUUGACUUAGUAAUUUUAGCAUCAUAGCCUUUUAAUAGUUAUCUGCAUGGAUUAAAACAUUGGCGUUUAAACUUUUUUUUAACCAGAAUAGUAUGAAAUACAUUUUAUAUAUCACAAUGCAGCAUACACACCUGAAAAAAUAUAUUAAGAAAAUGUUAUUUACUCAUACUACAUCUGACAUGUUAUUUUCUACUGUUUCAUUUAAGAAAAGAAAACAGUACUAAUCUGUUCAUUAGUUUCAUAGCCUACUAAUAGUUCAGAACCCAGUUUGAAAAACAUCGGAUUAGAGGAUUCCAGUUUUAAGUUCUGAAAAAUUUCUGAAUUUAUGUAAAUGUAACUUGAUGUAUCAGAAAGUUAUCUUUAAUGAGAUUCCUAGAGUUUCUGCUUUUAAAUCAGUAGUGUUUCAUAUUUGAAAAUUUUUGAAAUUCAAGGUAGGCAUGCUUAAUUGUAAACAGUUUUAACUCUGUUUAAGUUGCUUGAUGACAUGAUAGUUUUUUUCAUCAAGAUUAUAUACACACUACACUAAAGCUGUCAAGUUAGUUUUCUUAAGUUGCUUAAUAUCAAAUGUAGACUGAACACCGUCUUAGUUGAAUUUUUUACUUGUGCACGUGCAAUUGGUUCUUGUGGCAUUAUAUAGGUAUAACUUAAAUAUGAAAAGGAGUGAGAUAUAGACGGCCCUCCCAAACUCACUGUCAGAACCAGAGAUGGAAUUCAGGACUUCGUUUCCUGAAUGUUGCCUUCAUUUCCUUAUCCAAAAUUAGAUUAGUUAAUAUAUAGUCACAGAAAUAAGCUGAAAAUUAUUUUUACAAAUAUAAAUUCUGACCAGGUGUGGUGGCUCAUGCCUGUAAUUCCAGCACUUUGGGAGGCCAAGGCAGAAGCUUGCUUGAACCUAGGAGUUCAAGACCAGCCUGGGCAACAUAGGUAGACCCUAUCUCUAUACAACUUAAAAAGUUAGCCAGGCGUGGUGGCUCAUGCCUGAGGUCCCAGAUACUUGGGAGGCUGAGGCAGGAGGAUCAUUUGACCCUAGGAGGUCAAGGCUGCAUUGAGCUGAUUAUGCUGCUGCACUCCAGCCUGGGUGACAGAGCAAGACCCUGUCUCAAAAAAAAUAAAGUUUCAAAUUCUUCACAAUUAUAUUCUGAAUCAUUUAUGCUAAUUUUUAAAAAACAUUUUAAUCCUCAGGAACAGGAUCUGGACUUGGCACAUUUCUUUUAAAGGUGCUUGAAGACGAAUUCCCAGAAGUAUACAGAUUUGUGACUUCCAUUUAUCCUUCUGGUGAGGAUGAUGUCAUAACCUCACCUUAUAAUAGCAUCUUGGCAAUGAAGGAACUUAAUGAGCAUGCAGACUGUGUGUUGCCCAUUGACAAUCAAGUAAGAAAUGACAUUGGAACUUAUGAAUAAAUGUUACAUAUAUUCAGUCCUAUAUUAUGUAUAUGUGUUUAUAUGAAACAUUCUCUUCACUUUUCAGCCUUCUUAGAAAAAAAAUCAGUUUAAAUUGUUUUUCUUUCUCUUUCCUAGUAGAGUAUCAUCUACAUCCACUCUUCUUAAUAGCUUCUCUCCCAAUGUUUUUCCCUCAAAAGUCUUUAUUUGACAUCAUUAGCAAAAUCGACCUCAUGGUGAAUUCUGGAAAGUUGGGUACAACUGUGAAGCCAAAGAGUCUGGUUACUUCAAGUUCUGGGGCUUUAAAAAAGCGGCAUAAGAAGCCCUUUGAUGCAAUGAAUAACAUUGUGGCAAAUUUGCUGCUCAACCUAACGAGGUAAUUCUAUCCAGGGAUAGUCAAAAAACUUUAUUGUGCUUUUGGUGAUAUUUUGAAUUUUUGUAGUAGCAUUUUUUAGUUAUUCUAAAUUGUAGAAGCUGCUUCUGUUUUUAUUUUGUCUUCUAUCUUUUCUUGGAGUGAUCAAGCAGAAUUUUACCUUCUAUGACUCCAAAGCAGCAUUUCCCCAAGUAUGUUCCAUGGAAUAUUAAUAGAUAUCAUAUGAUGUAAAAGAUUUUGUGGUUGACACACUUGUAAAACACGUAGACAAAAUUAAACAUUUUUUAGCUGUAGAAUGUCUUAAUCAUUUAAACCAACUAAUCUGUACCUCCUCAUUAACUGGUCCAAAAGAUUUCUGUGGCUUUUUGGUAUCAGAGAUUGCUUUGACAUUAUUAUAUUCUAGAUUAUAGAGUAUAUUAAGCAGAUUCUUGAGGAAUUUAGUUGUUUCUACAGUUACUAAUUAUUGACUUAUAUGUGUUUAACUCAAAUAUAAAGUUUGUUUUAAAUAGGAUAUUUUUAUAUGUGUAAUGAGCAACUAUAAUAGUAUAUUGAUUACACUUCAGAUAAUCCAGAAAGAAUGACUGUAGGGCCAGCCAUGGUGGCUCAUGCCUGUAAUCUCAGCACAUUGGGAGGCCAAGGCAGGUAGAUUGCUUGAGCCCAGGAGCUGGAGAUCAGCCUGGGGCACAUGGUAAAAUCCCAUAUCUACAAAAAAUACAAAAAUUAGCCAGGCAAGGUGUUGUACGCCUACUGUAGUCUCAGCUGAUCAGGAGGCUGAGAUGGGAGGUGGCGGUGGCAGUGAGCUGAGAUCACACCACUACACUCCAGCCUGGGCAACCAGAGCGAGACCCUGUCUC